This 268-nucleotide ribosomal RNA is filed under the name uncultured bacterium. RNAcentral describes it as "partial 16S ribosomal RNA". It matches the Rfam family "Bacterial small subunit ribosomal RNA", at positions 87 to 353 of the family's 1533-position model. The record is from RNAcentral.
CUGACUUAGCGGCGGACGGGUGAGUAACGCGUGGGUAACCUGCCUUACACUGGGGGAUAACAGUUAGAAAUGACUGCUAAUACCGCAUAAGCGCACAGGGCCGCAUGGUCCGGUGUGAAAAACUCCGGUGGUGUAAGAUGGACCCGCGUCUGAUUAGGUAGUUGGUGGGGUAACGGCCCACCAAGCCGACGAUCAGUAGCCGACCUGAGAGGGUGACCGGCCACAUUGGGACUGAGACACGGCCCAAACUCCUACGGGAGGCAGCAUG